This 27-nucleotide non-coding RNA is filed under the name Mus musculus (house mouse). Lineage: Eukaryota; Metazoa; Chordata; Mammalia; Rodentia; Muridae. The record is from RNAcentral.
UGGCAGAAAUCAUCAGUCAAGCGACCC